CUGUUGCCUGUGCGCUGACGUUUUAAACAAAGUGUCAGAGGAUCCAUUUAAUUGGGAAAUUUAUUGGUCAGCUACAGCAGCAUAGGAGACGACAUACUGUCUGGCCCUCUCUUGUUGGCUUUCUUUGGCUCGCAUGUUCUGCGGUUUGCUGGAAAUGCUUUCAUACAGGGGAAAGUGGUCCACUAAAAAAUAAAAAGAAGAAACAACGAUAAAAACUAGAGACAAAUUCGUGUAAAAGAAGUGGAUUUGUUUUGAAUGACAACAACUGGAAUAUUUUGUGAGCUCGUUCCGAUUAUGAGACUUUCCCGCUAAUUAUAUUUGUACAGGCCACACGCUAUGGACAUUCAGAGACAUUGUUCAUUGCUCAACAUUUUUGUCAUUUUCCAACUACUUAUCAAUCGUAUUUUCCAAGAGUCUCGUCUAAUCCUAGGCGGAAAAGUGGUCCUCGCUGCCAAACGACUAAUGAGCAUUUCUUUCCAUUAUCUCAUCAUGCAAAUGUACGCAAUUGCGAAGCGUAUCCUAACGCCGGGAAUUGGACUUGCACAACUCUGCGUAACGUGAAAGAUCCGUCACACAUGGCACAAGGUGAAGUCCUAAUCUGUUUUUGGUCAGAUAAAAACCACAGAUGCAGAUACAUAAACACUCUCACACACACACACACACAAUAUUGCAGUUGCAGUUUCCGUUGCAAAAUGAGAUUGUCAGCUAUGGGAUGACAGACCUUCGUAAUAUCCCCUCAAUUAAAAAGACGUUCAUCAUCGAUUUGUUUAUUAUGCAAUUGCAAUUUCAAUUGCAUUCAUAUCAAACCAGAUAUCGACCAAAACAAACAUCCAGGCAGCGCCCAACUGUGCCAAAAGGUAAACCAGUAGGUGGUGCCGGAAGUGCCCGAGAAUCCAUCCACAAAACAAACCUAGGUGAGGUAUCUGUUGUGCAGUUUCCCAUCAACAGGAGACAACAAACUAAUCAAAACUAAUGAUGACAUAAUUGGCUCGGAAGCAGGACCCUAUGUGUGGGUCCUCUGUGUAAUCGAAUAGGAAUUGAUAUAGGAAGAAAACUGAGGAAGUGGCUGACGCAGUGCGAAAACAAAGCCACAUACAAAUUGGGUCUACCAAGGAAACAAACAUCAGCCAUCAGUCAGGGGUCCUCAAAAAAAAGAAGGAAGAAGACGGAAAGAACAUCUCGCACAAGUUACAAGUAAAUAAAAAGAAAACGAGAAAAAGUGUAAAAAGAUAAUUGAUUUGUUUGCAAAACUGCAAUGCGAUGACACUUUGGAUUUUAAUGCCCAUGGUGUGGUCCUGUUCUGUGUUCAGCAAUUAGCCGGAACGUUAUAAUUACAAUGAGGAAAUUGUUGUGACAUUUGGUAAAAGUCAAAACUAUUGAGCAAUUCAUCAAUAUGCUGCCACACAGAUUGCUUUCCUUUCUCAAAUGGCUUUUUCUUCGACUUUUCUUCCCUUUUCUAUUUUUUUAUUCAUUAUAAUUUUUGUGGCACGGAUGUUGCCCCGCGGUGUAGCGUGUGCUACUGUCGGCUUCCAUUUCCCGUGGGGAACUAAAGUCAAACCACACAGCUGCCAUCCAUACAAG
Long non-coding RNA from Drosophila sulfurigaster albostrigata, 1581 nucleotides. RefSeq lists it as uncharacterized. Lineage: Eukaryota; Metazoa; Arthropoda; Insecta; Diptera; Drosophilidae. The transcript is spliced from 3 exons. The record is from RefSeq and is a predicted model, not a curated record.